GCCAAAUUAAACACCAAUAUACUUAAUAGAUAUGUUUGACCAACUUAUAAAUCAAACUAAUCUCUUUGACAUUAAAAUCUUGAGGGAUAGUUAACAAAGCUUAAUAAAUGGAAAUUGAGUAACAUCAUUUUACUUUAUUUAAGUUUUUUACCAAACUCUUGUUACAUUAUUAAUUAUUUUUUACCCUUAAUAAUUAUUCCUUUAAAAUUUAUGGAGUAACAUUUAACUUUUAUUUUUUUAAUUUUUCGGUGGACAACUCUUAAUUUUUUAAUUUUGUACCAAACAUUAUCUUAGUAGGAUCAGAUUAAGACAUGAAUGAUGUUUCAGUUAAUUAGUUUGCUGGUGCUGGAAUUUCCUAGUAGUUUUCUAGCCCAAGCAAAGGAUCAAAAACUAAAGUUUAGCGGAAUAUCAACCUGCAACAUCAACCAUGACAUAUGGCACCUUAUAUAUAAAUGAGGGACAACGACUAAAGAGAUGUAUAAACAAAUCCAUCCCACAACUUAGAAGGGGUUACCUGUGAAGCAGAAAGCUCUGCAAAAGAACAAUGGCAGAGGGCGCAGUAACUAUUCUGCUUGAAAAAUUUGUUCCCCUUUUCGAAAAUGAAGUACAGCUCUUGAGCGGCGGUCGAGAAGAUAUAGUGUUCGUGAGAGCAGAGUUGGAGCGGAUAAGAGCCUUCCUAAAGGUUGCAGAUUCACUGGAAGAGAGUGAUGAGGAAGUAAAAGUGUGGGUUAAACAAAUCAGAGAUGUUGCUCAUGACACUGAAGACGUUUUAGAUGAGUACAGAAUUCUACAAACACAUGAUCAUGGCAAUGGGCUCUUUGGUUUUCUACAUAAGAUGUCUUGUUGCAUUAAGAACAUGAAGGCUCAUUAUCGAAUAGCAUCAGAAAUACGAGAGAUCAAAUCAAGAAUCAAAAAUAUUUCUGCUGGACAUCGAAUACUCCACCAGAAGUUCUGUGUAGCCGGACAAGGUGCAAACUCCACCUGUGCAGGCAACGAAUGGCAAGACCAGAGAGGGGAUGCCCUUCUUCUAGACAGAACUGAUCUAGUGGGCAUUGAUAAGCCCACAAAGAAGCUGGUUGGUUGGCUGGUUAAUGAAGGUACAGGGCGUGAAGUAGUUUCACUUGCAGGGAUGGGAGGAUUGGGGAAAACCACCUUGGCGAAACAAGUCUAUGAUGAUUCAGAAGUAAAGAAACAUUUCAGCAUGCAUGCCUGGAUAACAGUGUCUAGAUCUUACAAGAUGGAAGAACUCCUUAAAGACAUUGUUCAACAACUCUUCAGUGCAGAUAGGAAGCCAGUUCCCAGAGAAGCAGACAACAUGAACAGCAAUCAGCUGAAAACAAUAAUUAAGGAGCUGCUUCAGAACAGAAGGUACCUAAUUGUUUUGGAUGAUGUAUGGCAUAUAAAUGAGUGGGAUGCCGUCAAAUAUGCCUUGCCCACCAACAACUGUGGCAGCCGAGUCAUUCUCACUACACGCAAUGCUGAUCUUGCCUUCACCUCACGCAUAGAAUAUGAAGGUAAGGUCUAUUACUUGGAGCCAUUGCCUCCAGAAGAGUCUUGGACUCUUUUCUGCAGGAAGACAUUCCAAGGGAACUUAUGUCCUCAUCAUUUGGAGGAUAUUUGCAAAAGCAUACUCAGAAAAUGUGAGGGACUUCCCCUUGCAAUUGUGGCAGUUAGUGGAAUUCUUGCUACCAAAGACAUGCGAAGGAUAGAUGAAUGGGAAAUGGUUCGACGUAGCCUUGGUGCUGAAAUUGAAGGCAAUGAUAAACUUAAGAAUUUAAAGAAGGUACUUUCACUCAGUUUCAAUGAUCUGCCAUACUAUCUCAAGUCUUGUUUCUUAUACUUGAGCAUCUUUCCUGAGGAUCAUCCAAUUGAGCAUAUGAGACUCAUUAGAUUGUGGGUUGCAGAAGGAUUUGUGGAAGCAAAAUAUGGAAAAGAAUUAGAAGAUGUUGCAGGGGACUAUCUCAAUGAACUCUUAAAUAGAAGCCUGCUACAAGUAGCAGAAACAACCAGCGAUGGACGGAUCAAAACAUGUCGAACUCAUGAUCUUCUACGAGAGAUUGUCAUCUCAAAGUCAAGAGAGCAAAAUUUUGCAGUUAUAGCCAAGGAACAUAACGUUACAUGGCCAGAUAGACUUCGGCGUCUAUCAAUUCACAACACAUUACAAAAUGUGCAACAGAACAGGUGUGUUUCUCAGUUACGUUCAUUAUUCAUGUUUGGCAUAGCAGAGAAGUCACCCAUAACUGGCCUGUUUCCCAGUGGCUUUAGGUUGCUUAAUGUGUUAGAUUUGCAAGGUUCAAAUCUAAACAAGUUCCCAAUUCAGGUUAUCAACCUAUACUACCUAAAGUAUCUAAGCUUGAAAAGUACAAAGGUAGCUACAAUUCCAUCCUAUAUAGGGAAGCUUCAACACCUAGAGACCUUAGAUCUGAAACACGCCCAUGUCACUGAAUUGCCUGUGGAGAUCCUGAAGCUACGAAAACUUCGCCAUCUUCUUGUGUAUCGUUAUGAGUACGAGUCUUAUGCACAUUUCCACUCCAAGCAUGGAUUCAAGGCUCUGGAAAAAAUAGGUGUUUUGCGGUCACUGCAGAAGCUAUGCUUAAUAGAAGCAAACCUAGGAAAUGGCAAUAUAAUGAAGGAACUCAGGAAGCUAACCCAACUGAGAAGGUUAGGUGUAGUAAAGUUGAGAAAGGAAGACGGGAAGACUCUGUGCUCAUCUAUUGAAAAUCUCAGCAACCUUCGUGCAUUAUCCCUACUUUCUGUGGAAGACGAGAUACUUGAUCUUCAGCACCUAUUUUCUCCUCCACAAUUACUUCAGCGGCUUUACUUGACAGGACGUUUAGAGACACUACCACACUGGAUACCUAAUCUUGCAAGCCUGGUUAGACUGCAUUUGAAAUGGAGCCGCUUGCAGGAUGAUCCACUUGAAUCUCUUCAAAUUCUUCCAAAUCUUGUACAUCUUGAAUUACUCCAAAUGUAUGAAGGAGACACACUGUGUUUCAAGGCUGGUGGGUUUAAGAAGCUGAAGCUCUUAGGCAUUGAUAAAUUCGAUGAACUAAAAUGCAUACAAGUGGAGGCAGGAUCAAUGCCCAUAGUGGAGAAGUUGUGCAUUCAGCGCUGUAAGUUUUUGCAUAAGGUACCCUUGGGCAUUGAAUAUCUGACAAAGCUCAAAGUGCUUGAAUUCUUUGAUAUGCCUCAUGAAUUAAUCAAGACACUUCAUUCUGAUGAAAAAGAGGGAGAUUAUUGGAGAGUUGCACACAUCCCAGAAGUGUAUUCUACCUACUGGAGAGAUGGGGGAUGGGAAGUCUAUUCUUUGGAAAGUUUCAAUGAUGCUUACAGGCCAAGUCCUGUCACAAGGAACCAGGAGCUUUAUACUCGCUGGAAAUAGCAUUUUUCUUGCAUGUUGGUUUCAUUAUCUGUGGAUAAAAUUUGUAAAUAAGAUUGGUAAAUUUAUAUGAUUGUAAAUAGCUAGUGUUUUAAUGCUAAGCUUCAUUAUAGAUGAUCAAGAAAAUGAUGUUUGGUGUUGUAUAAAUAGGACUAUGGUAGCCCAAACAGUAUGUCUAGUAGUCUCCAAUGACAACAUACUAAAGACAUGAACUUCAUCAAAUAUGACAUGCAGUAG
Molecule: unclassified non-coding RNA, 3616 nt
Filed under: Hevea brasiliensis (rubber tree)
Lineage: Eukaryota; Viridiplantae; Streptophyta; Magnoliopsida; Malpighiales; Euphorbiaceae
Source: RNAcentral